Molecule: ribosomal RNA, 405 nt
Filed under: Allenoconcha platysoma
Lineage: Eukaryota; Metazoa; Mollusca; Gastropoda; Stylommatophora; Microcystidae
Description: partial large subunit ribosomal RNA
Source: RNAcentral
UUGCGAAAACUUUCAAUAUAUAUAAAAAUUACCUUUUGCAUAAUGGUUUAAUUAACUUUUAAAGAUUUUUUUUUCCCGAAAUAAAAAGAUCUAAUAAAAAAUUAAAAAUAUGUUUUAAAAUAUUUAUUUAAUUUUUUAUUAGGUGUGAAAGGCUAGUCAAUUUUUAUGAUAUCUGGAUAAGAUUAAAUGUAUUUAGUACAGGCUAAAAGCUGAAGAGCCCCCUGUUAAGGGGGGGCUCAAAAAGGAUAAUAAUAAAAAUAUUUUUAUUUAGGAUAAUUCUAUAAUAAUUUUAAUGCUUUAUAUAAUUAUUUAUUUGUUGGUUCUUUUAAAAUUUUUCUAGAAAAAUUUUAAUUUUCUAAUUUUUUCAUAAUGUUAAAAUAAGUAUUAAUCUUAAUUUAAAUAUAG